Molecule: long non-coding RNA, 462 nt
Filed under: Gossypium barbadense (sea-island cotton)
Lineage: Eukaryota; Viridiplantae; Streptophyta; Magnoliopsida; Malvales; Malvaceae
Description: long non-coding RNA (GBAR_LNC005695)
Source: RNAcentral
CAACAGCAUCCGAUGGGGGGAUAAGCCAUUGGUGGUGGAGGACAAGGUUCUGGAACCUUUGGUGGUGGUGGUGGUGGUGGUUCUUUUGGUUUCUCAGGUUCCUUAGGCUUUUCGGGUUCUUUCGGCUUUUCGGGUUGUUUCGGUUUCUCGGGUUCUUUGGGUUUUUCGGGUUCUUUCGGCUUUUCGGGUUGUUUAGGUUUCUCGGGUUCUUUGGGUUUUUCGGGUUCUUUUGGUUUUUCUGGUGCUUUAGGCUUUUCGGGUUCUUUUGGUUUUUCUGGUACUUUAGGCUUCUCAGGUUCUUUGGGUUUUUCAGGUUCUUUGGGCUUUUCGGGUUCUUUAGGCUUCUCAGGCUCCUUGGGUUUGGGAGGAGGAGGUGGAGGUUUGAUCUCAAUGCUCUUGAUUGAUCCAGCACCCUUGCAACAUAUCUUGUCCCUCAGCUUCUCAGGAUUGCAGCAUACCACG